AUCACUGAUGUGACCAAUUUAUUUAAAUCUAAGUUGCAUUUUGCAAACAGUGUAAUGUUUCAAAGAUCAGUCUGAUUGUUCUCCAGUGUUAUGUCUUGUAAAUGUUCUCAGUGAUCAACUGUGGUCACAUACACAACAAAGUAAACAUUUGGGAUUCCGAAGGUCCCAAGUUAAAUCUGGUUACACGCCCAAAAUCACCAACAGCUGAACAAUAUGAACAAUAUUUAUUCGAGGGAAAAGAUGCUUGUGUUCAGGUAUGGUUUAGCGUCAUGCCUAGCCGACAAGGUCUCCAUGGAUCCGCAGUCGUAAACACAGUUGUAUUUUUGAACAUUAAAAUGUACAUGGGCACAGUCUUUAUCACCACCUGAGAUGUAACGUUGUAAUAUUGAGUAUCCGGGUGUGCUUCGUGCCCCAGUAAGAGUUAUCCGUUAUACAAUACACAUUUUUUAUGUGGAAUAUGUCGUUCAGACAUUGUUUCAGCCAUUUUGCGGCAAAUUUGCAAUGUACAACACCUUCGACGAAUGAUUCUUAUGGUCAAACUUGGUCAUUUGCCUCUCUGUGUCAACCACGACAGCUUCAAAUCUCUGCAGCACACAGUGGCACAUUAUGCUGUUACGACAUUCGCGAGCCUGUGUCUAAGUGGGAAGAAAGUAGCCCAACACUCCUGUGUCUAGUCGACAGUGGUACACUAAACCGUCGUGUCCUCUCGUUAACACUUUCACAAUAUUUACAUAGUAAGGACGUUAUGGUAGACAGGAAACGCAUUUUAUCUACCCAAAGCAUAAUUACAUCCGAUAAAGUUGUAAUACUUGGGCGCUAAAUCCGAAUUACAGCAGAGAGCAUUUUGUCAGGGAAGGUCUUACACCAGAAAGAGCAUAUUGUCAGGGAAGGUCUAGCAGUAGAGAGCAUAUUGUCAGGGAAGGUCUUACAGCAGAGAGAGCAUAUUGUCAGGGAAGGUCUUACACCUAAAAGAGCAUAUUGUCAGGGAAACUCUUACAGCAGAGAGCAUUUGUCAGGGAAGGUCUCACAGCAGAGAGAGUAUAUUGUCAGGGAAGGUCUAACACCAAAAAGAGCAUAUUGUCUGGGAAGGUCUUACAGCAGAGAGAGCAUAUUGUCAGGGAAGGUCUUACACCAGAAAGAGCAUAUUGUCAUCGAAGAUCUUACAGCAGAGAGAACAUAUU
Haliotis rubra (blacklip abalone) is the source of this 1181-nucleotide long non-coding RNA. RefSeq lists it as uncharacterized. The record is from RefSeq and is a predicted model, not a curated record. The transcript is spliced from 4 exons. Lineage: Eukaryota; Metazoa; Mollusca; Gastropoda; Lepetellida; Haliotidae.